CCUGUUGUCUGCUUUUGAUAUAAAUGGAGGUGGCGAAAAUGAUCAAUUUAUUGUCCCCUUUGGUGUGGAAUACCUGUAUUAUGAGAGGCUGAGAUCUGCUGCACUCAGUCAAGCUUCCGUCGAUGCCUUCGAAUAUAUGCUCUGUGAUCUUCUUGAAGCCGUAACUCGAAGACUUAUGUUUUUCAUGCGUGAUAUACGAACAACAUAUAAUAUCUGAGCUUGUUCGUAUGUACCGUGAAUCACACUUGGGCAACCGAAUGUUUGCCUAUAGGGGAACAGUGAGAAAUACUUGUGGGAAUCAACUUAUUCAGUUCCCCUAUAAUAACGAAGCAGAACUCAGCCGGCCUACAGGGCUCGUUUUCCGUAUCCGAGAGUUCCUCUGUAUCGAAAACUAGGAUAGUGUGAUAGGUGAUAGUGAUGUAAACAUAGAUGAUGUACCUGGUCAUGUAAAUCCUCUGAGGAUAGCUUUUUAUUCUGUAAUAUGGGUAUUCGUAACGUGCUGUAAUGAAAUUUUCAUUUUUUCGUUCAUAUCCGAACUGUUCCUUCUUUAUUAUGAAUGAGAUGUUGAGACUGUUUUCGUGGUUUUCUCUGAGAAGUCUACGAUAUUAUUUUUUCCUUCUUGCCUUUUAAUUGAUCCGACCCAGAAUCCAUUUAGCCAGUCUGAGUUUUCAGUUUACUCUUUCCGAGCUGUACCAACCGACCUGCGAGCUCGCUUUCGGUUUACUUUAUCCAAGCGAGACUAACCGACCUGCGAGCUCGCUUUCGGUUUACUUUAUCCCAGCGAGACUAACCGACCUGCGAGCUCUGCU
This 809-nucleotide long non-coding RNA is filed under the name Manihot esculenta (cassava). Its description in RNAcentral is "long non-coding RNA (MESC_LNC001865)". Lineage: Eukaryota; Viridiplantae; Streptophyta; Magnoliopsida; Malpighiales; Euphorbiaceae. The record is from RNAcentral.